This 541-nucleotide ribosomal RNA is filed under the name uncultured Geobacter sp. RNAcentral's name for it is "bacterial SSU rRNA". It matches the Rfam family "Bacterial small subunit ribosomal RNA", at positions 8 to 526 of the family's 1533-position model. Lineage: Bacteria; Pseudomonadati; Thermodesulfobacteriota; Desulfuromonadia; Geobacterales; Geobacteraceae. The record is from RNAcentral.
AGAGUUUGAUCAUGGCUCAGAACGAACGCUGGCGGCGUGCUUAACACAUGCAAGUCGAACGGAAUUAGGGGCUUGCUCCUAAUUUAGUGGCGCACGGGUGAGUAACGCGUGGAUAACCUACCCUGGUAUCUGGGAUAACAUCUCGAAAGGGGUGCUAAUACCGGAUAAGCCCACGGGAACUUUGGUUCUUGCGGGAAAAGGUGGCCUCUAUUUAUAAGCUACUGUAUCAGGAUGGGUCCGCGUACCAUUAGCUAGUUGGUAGUGUAAUGGACUACCAAGGCUACGAUGGUUAGCUGGUCUGAGAGGAUGAUCAGCCACACUGGAACUGAGACACGGUCCAGACUCCUACGGGAGGCAGCAGUGGGGAAUUUUGCGCAAUGGGGGAAACCCUGACGCAGCAACGCCGCGUGAGUGAUGAAGGCCUUCGGGUCGUAAAGCUCUGUCAGAGGGGAAGAAGUGUAUGGGUGCUAAUACCGCUUAUACUUGACGGUACCCUCAAAGGAAGCACCGGCUAACUCCGUGCCAGCAGCCGCGGUAAUAC